CAGUAGCCGCGGUAAUACGUAGGGUGCGAGCGUUAAUCGGAAUUACUGGGCGUAAAGCGUGCGCAGGCGGUUGUGUAAGACAGGUGUGAAAUCCCCGGGCUCAACCUGGGACCUGCAUUUGUGACUGUAUAGCUAGAGUACGGUAGAGGGGGAUGGAAUUCCGCGUGUAGCAGUGAAAUGCGUAGAUAUGCGGAGGAACACCGAUGGCGAAGGCAAUCCCCUGGACCUGUACUGACGCUCAUGCACGAAAGCGUGGGGAGCAAACAGGAUUAGAUACCCGCGUAGUCCCUGUCUCUUAUAC
RNAcentral lists this ribosomal RNA (301 nucleotides) under uncultured bacterium. RNAcentral's name for it is "partial 16S ribosomal RNA". It matches the Rfam family "Bacterial small subunit ribosomal RNA", at positions 509 to 807 of the family's 1533-position model. The record is from RNAcentral.